CUCUUACUGUCCGGAAUCCAGUGGUCCUUAGUGGGCGGGUUUACUCUGGCAGAGUUUCUGUUUGAAAUAGUUGGUAUUAAGUUGAUUCUGUCGCUGUUCGGA
RNAcentral lists this small nuclear RNA (102 nucleotides) under Mus musculus (house mouse). The record is from RNAcentral. Lineage: Eukaryota; Metazoa; Chordata; Mammalia; Rodentia; Muridae.